UGCCAGCCGCCGCGGUAAGACGGAGGGUGCAAACGUUGUUCGGAAUUACUGGGCAUAAAGCGCACGUAGGCGGCUGAAUCAGUCCGUUGUGAAAGCCCUCGGCUCAACCGGGGAACUGCAAUGGAUACUGUUCAGCUCGAGGAUGGUUGGGGUGAGUGGAACUCCUGGUGGAGCGGUGAAAUGCGUAGAUAUCAGGAGGAACACCAGUGGCGAAAGCGACUCACUGGACCAUAUCUGACGCUGAGGUGCGAAAGCUAGGGGAGCGAACGGGAUUAGAUA
Molecule: ribosomal RNA, 279 nt
Filed under: uncultured bacterium
Lineage: Bacteria
Description: partial 16S ribosomal RNA
Rfam family: Bacterial small subunit ribosomal RNA
Source: RNAcentral